This 71-nucleotide transfer RNA is filed under the name Mesorhizobium sp. Its description in RNAcentral is "tRNA-OTHER". It matches the Rfam family "tRNA". Rfam says of the family: Transfer RNA (tRNA) molecules are approximately 80 nucleotides in length. Their secondary structure includes four short double-helical elements and three loops (D, anti-codon, and T loops). Lineage: Bacteria; Pseudomonadati; Pseudomonadota; Alphaproteobacteria; Hyphomicrobiales; Phyllobacteriaceae. The record is from RNAcentral.
CGGGCAGUAGCGCAGCCGGUAGCGCACAUGACUGGGGUCACGAGUCGCGGGUUCGAAUCCUGUCUGCACGA